Molecule: unclassified non-coding RNA, 323 nt
Filed under: Thanatephorus cucumeris
Lineage: Eukaryota; Fungi; Basidiomycota; Agaricomycetes; Cantharellales; Ceratobasidiaceae
Description: partial internal transcribed spacer region
Rfam family: Eukaryotic small subunit ribosomal RNA (bases 1-46)
Source: RNAcentral
AAGUCGUAACAAGGUUUCCGUAGGUGAACCUGCGGAAGGAUCAUUAUUGAAUUUAAACAAAGGGUAUUUAGGUUGUAGCUGGCUCUAUUAGUUGGGAGCAUGUGCACACCUUUUGCUCUUUUUUUAAUCCACACACACCUGUGAACCUGUGAGGCAGAGACAUGGAUGGGAAAACUUUCAUUUGAUUUAAAUAAAUAAAUGAUUGGGACCCCUACCCCCCCUCUGUCUACUCAAAUCUAAUAUAAACCCAAUUUAUUUUAAAAUGAAUGUAAUGGAUGUAACGCAUCUAAUACUAAGUUUCAACAACGGAUCUCUUGGCUCUC